CUUUAAAACCAACAACCCCAACCUCUCCUACCGCAGCACCAACGUUGCUAAUCCUCAGGAUUAAGUGUAUCCUCCACAACAACAACAAGGUCAGAACAAACCUUUUUUUUCCCUACAACCAAGGUUUCGUUCCUAAGCAACAAUUUCAGGGGAAAUACCAGCCGCCACCACCACCUGGGUUUGCACAUCAGCAAAACCAAGGUCAUGCUGCUCCUGAGGCUGAUAUGAAACAAAUGCUACAACAGCUGCUUCACGGGCAAGCCUCUGGCUCCAUGGAGAUGCCAAAGAAGAUAUCUGAGUUACAUAACAAGCUGGAUUGUAGCUACAAUGAUCUCAAUGUCAAGAUGGAAACACUGAAUACCAAAGUCCGAUACUUAGAAGGAGAUUCUGCAUCUUCUUCAGCUCCAAAGCAGACAAGCCAACUACCAGGCAAAGCAGUUCAGAAUCCAAAAGAAUAUGCUCAUGCUAUCACACUGCAUAGUGGAAAAGCACUUCCAACUAGGGAGGACCCAAAGACGGUCACUGAGGACAGUGAAGAUCAAGAUGGGGAGGAUUUAAGUAUCGAGAAAGAUCAAGCUGACAAACCACUCGAUCAACCACUCGACCCGUCACUCGAGCAACCACUUGACCUGUCACUCUAGCAACCACUCGAUCUGCCACUCGACAACGUUACUCGACCAACAACUCGACCUAUCUUCCCAGCAGCAUCACCAACUGCUCCAAAACCAGUUGCUGUCAAAAACAAAGAAAAGGUCUUUGUCCCUCCUCCCCACAAACCACAUCUUUCAUUUCCUGGCCGUCACAAAAAAGCGUUGGCAGAUAAAUAUAGAGCUAUGUUUGCCAAGAAUAUUAAAGAGGUUGAGUUGCGGAUACCUCUUGUUGAUGCUCUAGCGCAAAUCCCAGACUCUCACAAGUUUCUGAAAGACUUGAUCGUGGAGAGAAUUCAAGAAGUGCAAGGGAUGGUGGUAUUGAGUCAUGAAUGCAGUGCUAUCAUACAGAAGAAGAUCAAUCCUAAGAAGCUUAGUGAUCCUGGUUCAUUCACUCUACCAUGCUCUUUAGGUCCAUUGGCUUUCAAUAGAUGCCUAUGCGAUUUAGGAGCAUCAGUCAGUCUCAUGCCGCUCUCUGUCGCCAAAAGAUUGGGGUUCACUCAAUACAAGUCCUGCAAUAUAUCCCUCAUCCUAGCUGACAGAUCAGUAAGGAUCCCUCAUGGUGUGCUCGAAAACCUCCCAAUCAGGAUCGGUGCUGUGGAGAUACCAACUUACUUUGUAGGCCCAGAGAUGGAUGAAGAGACCAAGGACCCUUUGAUUCAAGGGAGACCUUUCUUAGCCACUGCAGGAGCUAUGAUUGGUGUCAAGAAAGGGAAGAUUGAUCUAAACCUUGGCAAAGACUUUAGGAUGACCUUUGAUGUCAAAGACGCGAUGAAGAAGCCUACCAUAGAAAGGCAACUCUUUUGGAUCGAAGAAAUGGAUCAGUUAGCCGAUGAAUUACUGGAAGAGCUGGCAGAAGAAGAUCAUCUUAACAGUUCUUUAACCAAAAGUGGUGAAGAUGGGUUUCUGCAUUUGGAAACAUUGGG
RNAcentral lists this small RNA (1573 nucleotides) under Arabidopsis thaliana (thale cress). Its description in RNAcentral is "ATSL168610". Lineage: Eukaryota; Viridiplantae; Streptophyta; Magnoliopsida; Brassicales; Brassicaceae. The record is from RNAcentral.